Long non-coding RNA from Branchiostoma belcheri (Belcher's lancelet), 663 nucleotides. RefSeq lists it as uncharacterized. The transcript is spliced from 3 exons. NCBI's taxonomy places the organism in Eukaryota, Metazoa, Chordata, Leptocardii, Amphioxiformes, Branchiostomatidae. The record is from RefSeq and is a predicted model, not a curated record.
CGGGGAGGGAACUCCGCUACCAAAGAGGUCCUGACGGAGGCUCUGUCAAAUGCAGGGCUGCAGAGAGUUGUGGAUGGUCUAAGUGAACAUUUAUCGCAAAUGGGCAGGCCACAACAAAAAGGGGCGAAGAAGUAAGCUGCCGUCCGUGAAGCCAUGGAGAAACCAUGACAACAUGUGCUUUUACAGCGAGUACCUUAUCCGUUAGAAACAUCUUCAAGCGAAAGAUUUGACAAGGCCAACCUUGCUCACCAGCGGUCCUGACUUGCUGUCAUCUUAAGGAACACCGGUCGACAAUCUAAGUUGUUGACCUGGUACUAAGUCAUGUUUAAUCUAUUAGUUUUUUUUUUUAUUUUUGGCCUAGAUUAUGCCUUCUGCAGCAAGACGUCGUGCAAAACAUAUUGUUUUUUUUAUUGCAACAUUUUAAAAAGGGCAAGAUGGCGACAUACUCAAGCUCGAGGCUUAUGUUCGUGUCGUCAUCGAACAUUACAAAAGUGAAUCAAAAAUAAAUACAGACAUGCAAAUGGUAAGGAUAAUAAAGUAGACUAAGGUUACAACGAAGAAUAACUAUGGCAAUAUAAAAGAUAAGGAAAUUAUUAAGAGGCGUUGUAUGCAAGUAAAUUACAACAUGGUACUCCACUUCCAGCAUUGUUAAACGUAGUUACA